Non-coding RNA from Paramuricea clavata, 380 nucleotides. The record is from the annotation of a GenBank genome assembly. Lineage: Eukaryota; Metazoa; Cnidaria; Anthozoa; Malacalcyonacea; Plexauridae.
GCCAUUCAGUGUUAAUUGAAAACACAUGGACACUUCCAGGAAACGAUCCUUGAUUACACUAGCCUGCAUGGCAGGCGGUACUUAGUUCCUUUGCCUCCCUACUUUUCGCUGCCUGUAGAAAUACCGCCUGCCGCGCAGGCUAUGAUUACACCUGUUGUGUGUUCUGAGUUAAAAAGAACGCUUAUAAUACAGAUAUUAGAAAGGCUCGUUUACACUUACAAUUUUUGCUGCGUUUCCAGUGUGAUUUCCUUCUUCUGAUGGAUGUGAACGAGUAGAUGCGCUAUGAAUGUUCGGAGUACAUGUACCCUCAUCUAAACAUUCAUACUCGACCACUCGUUCACAUCCAUCAGAAGAAGAAAUCGCAUCCAAAAUCACAGCAG